This 497-nucleotide ribosomal RNA is filed under the name uncultured bacterium. RNAcentral's name for it is "partial 16S ribosomal RNA". It matches the Rfam family "Bacterial small subunit ribosomal RNA", at positions 28 to 507 of the family's 1533-position model. The record is from RNAcentral.
GAUGAACGCUAGCGGCGUGCCUAAUACAUGCAAGUUGAGCGAACAGACGAGGAGCUUGCUCCUCUGACGUUAGCGGCGGACGGGUGAGUAACACGUGGAUAACCUACCUAUCAGACUGGGAUAACUUCGGGAAACCGGAGCUAAUACCGGAUAAUAUAUUGAACCGCAUGGUUCAAUAGUGAAAGACGGUUUUGCUGUCACUUAUAGAUGGAUCCGCGCCGCAUUAGCUAGUUGGUAAGGUAACGGCUUACUAAGGCAACGAUGCGUAGCCGACCUGAGAGGGUGAUCGGCCACACUGGAACUGAGACACGGUCCAGACUCCUACGGGAGGCAGCAGUAGGGAAUCUUCCGCAAUGGGCGAAAGCCUGACGGAGCAACGCCGCGUGAGUGAUGAAGGUCUUCGGAUCGUAAAACUCUGUUAUUAGGGAAGAACAAAUGUGUAAGUAACUAUGCACGUCUUGACGGUACCUAAUCAGAAAGCCACGGCUAACUACGUG